RNAcentral lists this ribosomal RNA (460 nucleotides) under uncultured bacterium. RNAcentral describes it as "partial 16S ribosomal RNA". It matches the Rfam family "Bacterial small subunit ribosomal RNA", at positions 338 to 795 of the family's 1533-position model. The record is from RNAcentral.
CCUACGGGCGGCAGCAGUGAGGAAUAUUGGUCAAUGGGCGCGAGCCUGAACCAGCCAAGUAGCGUGAAGGAUGACUGCCCUACGGGUUGUAAACUUCUUUUAUAAAGGAAUAAAGUGAGGCACGUGUGUCUUUUUUUCUGUACUUUAUGAAUAAGGAUCGGCUAACUCCGUGCCAGCAGCCGCGGUAAUACGGUGGAUCCGAGCGUUAUCCGGAUUUAUUGGGUUUAAAGGGAGCGUAGAUGGGUUGUUAAGUCAGUUGUGAAAGUUUGCGGCUCAACCGGAGAAUUGCAAUUGAUACUGGCAGCCUUGAGUACAGUUGAGGUAGGCGGAAUUCGUGGUGUAGCGGUGAAAUGCUUAGAUAUCACGAAGAACUCCGAUUGCGAAGACAGCUUACUAAACUGCCACUGACAUUGAUGCUCGAAAGUGUGGGUAUCAAACAGGAUUAGAUACCCCAGUAGUC